Molecule: transfer RNA, 73 nt
Filed under: Stegodyphus mimosarum
Lineage: Eukaryota; Metazoa; Arthropoda; Arachnida; Araneae; Eresidae
Rfam family: tRNA
About the family: Transfer RNA (tRNA) molecules are approximately 80 nucleotides in length. Their secondary structure includes four short double-helical elements and three loops (D, anti-codon, and T loops). Further hydrogen bonds mediate the characteristic L-shaped molecular structure. tRNAs have two regions of fundamental functional importance: the anti-codon, which is responsible for specific mRNA codon recognition, and the 3' end, to which the tRNAs corresponding amino acid is attached (by aminoacyl-tRNA synthetases). tRNAs cope with the degeneracy of the genetic code in two manners: having more than one tRNA (with a specific anti-codon) for a particular amino acid; and 'wobble' base-pairing, i.e. permitting non-standard base-pairing at the 3rd anti-codon position.
Source: Rfam by way of RNAcentral
GCCUUCGUGGUAUAGUGGUCAGCACGACCGACGCGUAACCAAGAGGACCGCGGUUCGAUUCCCGGCGAAGGCU